UCCAGUUGCCCCCACAUCAGAGGGAAAGGAGCAAUGACAAGGGCUGAGUGUGUGUUGGAAGAUGUUUGGCUGAGCAAGGAAUCCUGAGUAAAAAGGAAGUUGGGAGAAUAUGGAGCUGUUACAGAAGUGCAGGACAUCCAGGGCCUAGCACAGACAUAUGUGACCGUUCGCGAGUGGAUUUUGACCGUCAGGGAAUGGUACCAAAUGUUAUUUGAUCCCGUGGAGAUCAAGAGGAAACCGCCCUUUGGAAAUGUAAGUAAAUACCAGCCCUGAGUUUUCUCCCAUCUGUCCUGCUGCCGACUGAAUGUGUCCUCCCAGAUUCAGAUGUGAAAACCCUCAUUUCCUACGCAAUGGUAUUUGGAGGUCUCGUCGUCAGUCCCGCCCCUCUGGUCCCUCGCGGCUCCCCCACCGCCCACCUUCUGGAUGACAUCCCAGCUCUGACUCCUGAAGGCCCAGCAGGUUCUGCCCCGGCCCACUUUCCAGCCCCGGGGGUUACCACCUGCUCUUCCCACAGCCUCUGAUGUCACGUCCUCUAAAGUCUUUCCUGGCCCCCAAGGUGGACCCUCCUCGGAUGCUCCCUCCCCCAGAGCCCCACCCACAUAGCUGGUGCCGAGCCACUUUCCCCGCAGCGUUCUGGAAGCUCCCGCAGCAGAGGGACCGCCGUGGCCCCGAGUAAGUGGGGCAGCGUCCAGAGGCAGAACGACGUGUCUCCCGGCCCUGGGCAGUCGCUUUCAGUGUCAUCCCUGGGAACUUGUCGGAAUGCGAAUUCUCGGGCCUCACCCCAAGCCUGCCGAAUCAGUUCUGGGGAGGGGACACAGAGGUCUGCUCUGAGCAGCCCCCAGGGGGUUCUGAGGCCCAUGGAGGCUUCUAGCCAGACACCCCUGGUUGGAUCAGGAGGGGCUGUUAAUGAGCAUCUGGCUGAGGGAAGAAACACAGCUGCAAGUGCCAAGUGAAAGUCCAAGGCCCCAGUGGUGGAUGUUUCCCAGAGUUCUUGUGGCUGUUGUCUUCUUAGGCCUGGACAUUUCGUGUGUCAUG
Long non-coding RNA from Leptonychotes weddellii (Weddell seal), 1035 nucleotides. RefSeq lists it as uncharacterized. The record is from RefSeq and is a predicted model, not a curated record. NCBI's taxonomy places the organism in Eukaryota, Metazoa, Chordata, Mammalia, Carnivora, Phocidae.